Small nucleolar RNA from Sorex fumeus (smoky shrew), 102 nucleotides. RefSeq annotates it as small nucleolar RNA U13. The record is from RefSeq and is a predicted model, not a curated record. The transcript has a single exon. Lineage: Eukaryota; Metazoa; Chordata; Mammalia; Eulipotyphla; Soricidae.
AUCCUUUUCUGGGUCAUGAGCAUGAUGAUUGGGUGUUCACAUUUGUGUGACAUGUACCUCCCUUGAAUCUUGGUAUACAUUUGGCACAUUACCCACCUGAUA